GUGAGUCCACAGCUCCCGAGGCAGCAGGGCCACCCCUCUAUCUGAGCAGGGCCCCUCGGGGUGUGACCAGGCCAGGGGAGGGUCAGCUCCCCACAGGGGGUCUCCGCAGGGGCUCGCUGCCCUCCCCCAGCUCCACCCUUACCUACCUACUCUCCCCCAACUGUAAGCUCACUCAGCAGCCCAUGUCAAGGGAGACUGCUAAACGGGGCCAGGUGGGCGCUGGGCUGAAGCCAAAGGCCUACACUCAUCCUCAGGAGGGGCUUGAGCGCAGGACCAGGGUGGAAGAAGACGCGUGAGAGGCUGCCAGAACGGGGAGGGUCUAGAGCCAGGAGACAGAGCCUCUGUCCUCAAUUCCCGGGGGCCUCGGGCAGGCCCUUCCUUUCUAUCAGCCUGUUGACCCAUGAGGUGACGGGCCUGGGGUAGUCGCUGCAAUCCCUCUGGGCUUCACUUUUUUUUUUUUAAUUUUAAAAAAUUCCAACAGGGACAAUACAUCUUGGAAAACUGUAAGAUUAGGAGACCUCCUGUGAGAGCCCCAGGAAGCCCAAUGAGAGGAAACGCUGUGGAGCGUGGGGGAGGUUUGAAGCUGACACUGAGGAAGCCUUCCUGGGAAGGAGCUUGAGCCCCUGGACAAGACUGGGGUCACUGCUGUCCGGGGCUACAGCUGCCUGGGCAGCAGGAGGGACCUGUGAGCAAAGCAGUGUUGGGAGAUACCUCUGCCCUUGUCUCUGGGAUAGCAGGACUCUGUCCUGGUCAUGCUGGAUGUCCGAUCCUGGCCCUCAUGAGAUCUGACUUUUGACCUUUGGCUUAAUCAUAGACUGAGGUUGUUUGUCCAGUCACCCCACACCAUUAAGAUUGUGCGGAGCCCAGUGCUGGCUCCGGGCAGGGCGGGCAGUCUGUCUGAGGAGGAGACACAGCCUCUGCCCUCAGGAGCCCAGUGGAGGGGCAGUAGGCUCUCCCCCAGGGAAGAGACCUGUCAUAGGGACAAAUGACCUGGGAGGCAGGCGAACCCCUCACCCCUCCUCUAGGGGCAGCUGGAGCCUGAACUGCAUGUGAAUCUGAAACUAGAUCAGGGAAGAGCUGGCAGCAUGCCCGGCAGUGGCAGCAGUGCUUUGGGGAGCUGGUGGGGCUGAGGAAGCACCCGUGAGUCCCCCUGCCCUGGCCGUCUGCAGACAAGCCCUUGGGUGUAAGGGACAAAGGCUGGGUGGGAGAGUGCACACUAUGGGCAGAUGUUCAGGCCUGGGAGAGGGGCGUGCUGGGCUCUCGGUCCUCCAUGCUGGUGAGUGUGCUGCACGCAGAAGAUGCACGAGGCAUCAGUGAGGGUGUGUGGUGCAGGUGUGUGCACUUCUGGUGCAACACGUGUGGGUGAGCCAGGAUGCAGCCCACAAGGGGAGCAGGGAGACUGGGCCAGUGUCUGCCCCAUGAGGUCAUGCUGGGAAAUCUGCCCCUGCUUCCUGGACCUCAAGGCCCCUGCACACAGGGAGGGGUCGGCAGAGACCAGUGUAGGCCUCCCCAGCUCCAUCAGUCUGUGCUCUGAGCACCCGCACCUGGGGAAGCCCCAAGGGGCCCUGCCCGCCCACUGCCAGGCCUUCUGUCUCCCCUUGAUCCCUCGCCUUGGCGCCCCAACAACUGUGCCUGACCAGCGAAUGCAGACUGAGCCAGCUGUCGCUGUGACAUCCAUUCUCCUCGGUGGGCCUGGGUGCUCCCACCCAGCUCCCCUAGCUCCUCUCGCCCGCCUCCCUCCCUGCUACACCCACAUCUGGGAAUUAGGCAGGAUGACACCUAAAAGCCUCCAGUGGCCAUGGAAUCUCAUGGGGUUCUGAGCCUUAAUCCACGAGCUGGUCUCGAGAGACCAAGGUAACAAGAAGUUCUGCUCCCAGCACCCUCAGAUCCCCACUUUCUCUGCCCCGGGGCUCUGGGAGGAUUCCUGGGGCACCAGCCCAGAAGAGGAAAAAGGCGCCUUAUUUGCAUAUCACUUUCAUCUGAUUUGCACAUGCCUCCUGGUUUGGCCAUUUCUAAGCAACCCUAGAAUUUGGAUCUCACAGGAUGCUGAGCCGUUUCUAGGCGCUAGCUUCUCUCCAUCUCCCACAACCCAGGUGCCUCCUAAAGGACAGUCACAUGAGCGUCCCUGCAAAUAAUCCACCUGCCAAUGCAGGAGAUGCAGGUUUGAUCCCUAGGUCGGGAAGAUCUCCUGGAGAAGGAAAUGGCAACCCACUCCAGUAUUCUUGCCUAGGAAAUCCCAUGGACAGUAGAGCUUAGUGGGCUAUUGUCCAUGGGGUCGCAAAGAGUCAGACACAACUUAGUGACUAAAAGGACAUCAAAGCGCAGUCACACGCACGGAACUCUCCCUCCACUCAGCUGCACUUGCACGCAGGCGCAAGAGUACAGCAGCCUCCGCCAAAUGCAGAAAUGCGGAGUCCUGGGCCCCAGCCCUGUGCACCCUCACCCUUGGCCCAUGGAAUAUACACUGAAUACACACUCACAUGUGCAACUGCAUACUUCCGUCUUCACACGCACUCAAAACUCACACACAUUUGUCUACACACAGCCUCAGGGCACAAGCAAACACAACUCAGCUUCACAUAGGAGUUGGGUGGGUUACACACAGUCUCUGUGCCAGGGUGGGCUGCCAGUGAGGUGCCCUAAGCAACAGAUCCCACCCAGCCCCUGAGAUGGGCAGGACUGGCAAGGGUCCUGCUGUGUGACUGGCUGGGAGGAGACAGCGCAGCUCAGGUGGCUAUUGGUAGUGGUUUUACCACCAGCAGGUCCCUAGGAUACACAGUCAAUGUAGCAACCCUUUAGUCAGAGUUUUGUCUUCCCCGAAAUAUGGUUUCAUCCUGCGUUUUCUGUACCAUUUCUGGUCCCCCAACCCCAGGCCUCCUGCCCUUAUUGGUCCCCAAACAGCUUCCUUGGGUGGCCCUGCCUUCUGACUUUAUUCACCCUACUCCCUACCAAGAACACCUCCCUGCCUCCUCCAACGUGAACACCCAACACCUUCAUUCAUGCCCUCUUCCUGGGUGGGCUUCCUUCCCUGUUCUCUCGGCACACUUCUAUACAUCCUUCAAGUCCCACCUUGAGCGUCACCUCUUCGGUGAAUCCUUCUCCAGUCUUACCAGGCAGAAGUAAUCUCGCUCCUCACUCUGUAAAUCCAGAGGCAGAGCAGUGGGUAGAAAGACACAGUUGGCCCUGAAUAUCUGUGUAGAGGAUGUUUAGGGGUUCGGAGGCUUUAUUUGUAAGGAAGGGCAGGGGGCUUUUCAGAAAAACAUAAUUACAUGGUGAGUGUCUGGGUUUAAAUUAUAUUUGUGUUUAUUUUCGGGGAAGAGCAUAGACACCAUAAUCAGACAAUACUGCUUCUACCAUUUCUGCUGUGCAUCUUUGGCCCCGCACCCCUGAGAUCACUAACGUGGCUGAAGGAGCACUGUCUCGCCUUAUUGUUCUAAGGCUGUUCACUAAGCAGGGCUUUAGUCAGAAAAUGCAAUUCCAGUUCCAAAAGGGACAGCAGUUCACACUCUGAGCAGCCAGCACCCCACAGGUGCCACAGCCCUGGUUGUUCGUCAGUCUUUUAAUUUUUUCAAUCCAAAGGGUAAAAAAUACGUCACAGGGAUUUGAACAACAGAAAUAAUAAAGUAGUAUUGGAUUACAACCCAAAGUAUGAAAUAAAUAUACACGAGUCCACAGUGAUUUUAAUAAAUGAUUGAAUAAGUUAAUAAAAGGGGAAAGAAGAAUUCCAGGUAAAUGAUGCAGUCAGUUCAUCCUAAAAGAGGGGCAUUUCAUCCCUCCCUACUUAACUGUGGGCUGUACAUAACGACAUCCUUUUAAAGAGUAGAGCAUGGAAGAGGCAGGCUAGGGAGUGAGGGAUAACUACAGAGAAAAAGCCUGACAAAGACAACCGCAACCAGGUAAUCCAGGUCAACAUCGACGGUCAUUGUUGACAUUGUUGCUCAGUCUGUUUACUGCCAACAGGCCAGUAUGUCAAUGAGUUGCUGGGGCAAGUAACAGCAACUUCAUCUGGAAAGCCAGCAGACCAAGGUGGUGGACCAGUGUCCCAAAGAACUGUCUGGCCCAGGUAUGGAUGCUAGUCCCUUUUAUAGAACAGAGAAGGGAAGGUGAGGAGGUAAAAACAGGAAUAAGCUGCUCCAAAUAAUUCCUGGUUCUAGCCAGACCCUGGAGAGAAUGUGUUCAUUUCUUCUUUCCUUCAGCCAUUCACAGAUAGACCUGGUCAGGAUACUACCUGAUUACUAAACAAGGUAUAUUAGCUUCAUGCUCAGGCCUGGGAGGCAGGGUUCCCAGAGAUGAGCCAUUAUGUAUAUUUUAAGAUAUAGGUAACAUCCUUUCAGGGAUUAACUUGUAGAAAAAACAAUAGAAUACAGAAGUAUAAAGUAAAAGAAAGAGAUCCAAUAUGGAGUCAAAUUUGUUCUUCCCUAUGAUAUACAUGGGCUUACCUGGUGGCUCAGUGGUAAAGAAUCUACCUGUCAAUGCAGGAGACAUGGGUUCAAUCCCUGGAUUGGGAAAAUUCCCUGGAAAAGGAAAUGGCAAUCCACUCCAGUAUUCUUGCCUGGGAAAUCCCAUGGACAAGGGAGCCUGGCAGGUAAGAGUCCAUACGGUCUCAAAAGAGUUGGACACAACUUAGCGACUAAACAAUUACAUACAUAUCCUUAACAUGAUGUGAUGAGAAUGCCACUUCACUUCCGUAGUCAACCUCCCCCAAAUGCAUAGGCCCAGUCUAUGAGAAAAAGAUCAGACAAAUUCCAGCAGAGGGUAUUCUACAAAAAAAAAAAAAACAACCUGACCGUACUCCUCAAACUGUCACGUCAUCAAAAAUAAGAACAAUCCGAGACUAAAUGCGAUGAGGUAUCCCAAAUGGGAUCCUGGGACAAAACAUGGUAAAAACUAGGAAAAUCCGAAUAGAAGUAUGGACUUUAGUUGACAAUAAUAUAUCACUAUAGGUGAUUCAGACAGUAAAUAAUCCACCUGCAAAGAAGGAGACUUGGGUUCAAUCCUUGGGUUGGGAAGAUUCCCUGGAGAAGGGAAUGGCUUCCCACUCCAGUAUUCUUGUCUGGAGAAUUCCAGGGACAAAGGAGCCUGGUGGGCUACAGUCCACAGGGGCACAAAGAAUGACUGAGUGAAUAACAUUUGUGUGUAACAAUAGUAUAUCACUACUGGGAUCUUUAGUUGCAGCAUGUCGGACCUAGUUCCUGACCAGGGAUCAAACCUGGGCCUCCUGCAUUGGGACCAGAGAAUCUUAGGCACUAGACCACCAGGGAAAUCUUACUAUUGUUUCUUUAAUUGUAACACACAUCCAUGCUAAUAUAAGUUGUUAAUAUUAGGGGAAACUGUAUGCGGUGGGACAAGGGAUAUCAAUGGGAACUCUCUGUACUAUCUGUUUAAUUUUUUCUGUAAAUCUAAAACUGUUCUCAUGCAACUGACUAGGGCUUAAUUUCCAAAUAUACAAACAGUUCAUGCAACUUGCAACAAUAACGAAAAACAUGAGCAACCCAAUCAAAACAUGGGCAGAAGACCUCAAGAGAUAUUUCUCCAAAGAAGACAUAUAGAUGGCCAACAGUCACAUGAAAAGAUACUCAAUCUUGCUAAUUAUUAGAGAAAUGCAAAUCAAAACUACAAUGAGGUGCCACUUCACACUGGUCAGAACGGUCAUCAUUAAAAAAUCUAGAAAUAACAAAUGCUGGGGAGGAUUUGGAGUAAAGAAAACCCUCCUACAUUGGUGUGACUGUAAACUGGCGUAGCCACUAUGGAAAACUGUAUGGAUGUUCCUCAAAAAACUAUAAACGGAACUACCAUAUGAUCCAGCAAUCCCAUUCCUGGGCAUAUAUCCUGACUAAACUAUACUCAAAGAGAAACAUACACCCUAUGUUCAUAGCAGCACGGUUCACAAUAGGCAAGACAUGGGAACAACCUAAAUGUCUAUCAACAGAUGACUGGAUAAAGGAGAUGGAAUACUAUCAGACAUAAAAAGGAAUGAAAUAAUGCCAUUUGUAGCAACGUGGAUGGACCUAGAGAUUAUCACACUAAGUCACAAAGACAAAUACCAUGUGAUAUCACUUAUGUGUAAAAUCUAUAAAGAAGGCUGAGCGCCAAAGAAUUGAUGCUUUUGAACUGUGGUGUUGGAGAAGACUCUUGAGAGUCCCUUGGACUGCAAGGAGAUCCAACCCGUCCAUCCUAAAGGAAAUCAGUCCUGAAUGUUCAUUGGAAGGACUGAUGCUGAAGGAUGAAUACUUUGGCCACCUGAUGCGAAGGACUGACUCAUGGAAAAGACCCUGAUGCUGGGAAAGACUGAAGGCAGGAGGAGAAGGGGAUGAGAGAGGAUGAGAUGGUUGGAUGGCAUCCCCGACUCGAUGGACAUGAGUUUGAGCGAGCUCCAGGAGUUGGUGAUGGACAGGGAAGCCUGGCGUGCUGCAGUCCAUGGGAUCGCAGAGUCCGACGCGACUGAGCGACUGAACUGAACUGGUGUGUAAACUCUAAAGUGUGACGCAAAUAAACUUAUCUACAGAACAGAAGCAAACUCACAGACACAGAGAACAGACUUGUGGUUGCCAAGGGGGUGGGGGAGAGACGGAUUGGGAGUCUGAGAUGUGCAGAUGCAAACUAUUAAAUACAGAAUGGAUAAGCAACAAGGUCCUCAUUGCAUAGCCCAGAGAACUAUGGUCAAUACCUGUGAUAAACCACAAUGAAAAAGAAUAUGAAAAGGACUAUAUAUUAUACAUACGCGUACAGCUGAAUCACUUUGCUGUACGCCAGAAAUUAACACGACAUUGUAAACCAAC
This is a long non-coding RNA of Bos taurus (domestic cattle), 6779 nucleotides long. NCBI's taxonomy places the organism in Eukaryota, Metazoa, Chordata, Mammalia, Artiodactyla, Bovidae. The record is from Ensembl.